Molecule: long non-coding RNA, 567 nt
Filed under: Accipiter nisus (Eurasian sparrowhawk)
Lineage: Eukaryota; Metazoa; Chordata; Aves; Accipitriformes; Accipitridae
Description: lncRNA (ENSANIG00000011222.1)
Source: RNAcentral
GGCCGAGCUGCCCGGCUGGCGGGGCGGGGGGAGGUUUCCUCUCAGGCGGCGGCGGGGCUGUGCGGUGGGGGUGGGCUACGAGGGGGCCUUUGCUGAGACUUCUGAAUCGCACGCACCCAGAGCCGUCAGGGCCUGUCCCCUCGGCGGCAGCAGGGCCUCGACUGCCACGGGAAGGCGCCCUGUCCUCGCCCGCCCGCCCCGCGGCCUGCACUCGCCUGCCCGCCUCGCCGUCUGCAGUGCCCGGGCUUUGCCGGUCUGGCAGGAAGAUAUAUGACGGGACUGAGAAUGGCUCUCAAAGAGAGGGAAAAAUUAGCUCUUGGGAGCAAACCUGAAAGUUGUUCUCUUCCACUUGUUGGAAAGGAAAACUGAAGAUCUUCUCAGAAUAUUUUGCAAGGUAUAUUCUUAAGAAGGUUGGGGGCUAUUUCCUGCAGAAAAUUGUUAGUGCUAAGUUGGGGCAUAACAAAGCUCAUGGUACAAGCAAUAUUUUGGUUUUGUUUGAAUAUUACAUUUCUGAAACUGUUUUUAUAAUACUGAACAUGCUGCAUAAUUUAAACUGGUAUCUCAGGG